UGGGGAAUAUUGCGCAAUGGGGGAAACCCUGACGCAGCGACGCCGUGUGAGGGAAGAAGGCCUUCGGGUCGUAAACCUCUGUCGGUAGGGAAGAACCGCCGGUUUCCGAACAGGGAGCCGGCCUGACGGUACCUCCGAAGGAAGCGCCGGCUAACUCCGUGCCAGCAGCCGCGGUAAUACGGAGGGCGCGAGCGUUAAUCGGAAUCACUGGGCGUAAAGCGCGCGUAGGCGGCCAGAUAAGUCGGGCGUGAAAGCCCUCGGCUCAACCGAGGAAUGGCGUUCGAGACUGUGUGGCUUGAGUCCUGGAGAGGGUGGGGGAAUUCCGGGUGUAGGAGUGAAAACCGUAGAUAUCCGGAGGAACACCGGUGGCGAAGGCGGCCACCUGGAGAGGUACUGACGCUGAGGUGCGAAAGCGUGGGGAGCAAACAG
Molecule: ribosomal RNA, 429 nt
Filed under: uncultured bacterium
Lineage: Bacteria
Description: bacterial SSU rRNA
Rfam family: Bacterial small subunit ribosomal RNA
Source: RNAcentral